Clostridium sp. Maddingley MBC34-26 is the source of this 102-nucleotide small RNA. It matches the Rfam family "dinG RNA". The record is from Rfam. Lineage: Bacteria; Bacillati; Bacillota; Clostridia; Eubacteriales; Clostridiaceae.
AAUGAUACUUCUGCCUUGAACGCUUAUCGGCAUUGGGCAGCCCACAAAGAAUGAUGGGAUAACGCUCCUUUGGUUUGAGAACUUAUAGCCAUGGCAGCUUAU